RNAcentral lists this long non-coding RNA (29285 nucleotides) under Coffea arabica (coffee). RNAcentral's name for it is "long non-coding RNA (CARA_LNC007911)". The stretch from base 10809 to 10915 matches the Rfam family "Plant small nucleolar RNA R71". Lineage: Eukaryota; Viridiplantae; Streptophyta; Magnoliopsida; Gentianales; Rubiaceae. The record is from RNAcentral.
GUUCACUUAGAAAGUUUGAAACACCAUGAAGUUCACCUACACUUUAUCCCUUUUGGUUUUGUGCCUAACUUUAUCCUUAACCUUCACCAAUGCUGCAAAUUUCAACAUUAUAAACCAAUGUACCUACACAGUUUGGGCAGCUGCUUUCCCAGGCGGUGGCAGGCGGCUCGACCGAGGCAAAUCAUGGUCCCUAAACGUGGCUCCUGGCACCACCCACGCUCGCAUUUGGGGCCGAACCAAUUGCAACUUUGAUGCCAAAGGCCAAGGCCACUGUCAAACAGGUGACUGCAAAGGGCGCCUCGAGUGCCAAGGCUAUGGAAGUCCUCCAAAUACGAUAGCUGAAUUCUCCCUAAACCAGCCUAACAACUUAGACUACAUCGACAUUUCCAACGUUGAUGGAUUCAACAUCCCAAUGGAGUUCAGCUCCGUUACUCGUUGCCGUAAUAUCAGAUGUUCAGCGCCUAUUGUUGAUCAAUGCCCAGCUAAGCUAAGAACUCCAGGUGGAUGCCACAAUCCGUGCACUGUUUUUAAAACAAAUGAGUAUUGUUGCACCAAUGGCCCAGGAAGCUGCCGCCCGACCGACUUCUCCAGGUUCUUUAAGAGCAGGUGCCCUGAUGCUUAUAGCUAUCCUCAAGAUGAUCCCACAAGCUUGUUUACUUGCCCAAGUGGUACAAAUUAUAGGGUUGUCUUCUGCCCUUAAAUAAAGCUAGAUAUUUAAGGUUCUUGUGACAGCUUAUAUGCCCAACAACUUUACCAGAAAAGUAGAUUAUGAGAAAUAAACGCAUAUGUGAACCUUGUGGUAAUGGUUCACUGGAAUUGGGAUAAAUUUGAGCACAUAUAGCAUUGUGCGAUUUGUCUUCUUUAUCAGCAUUUUGGCUCUUUAAACAACUUAUGAACUAGAUGACCAGUUCAAAACUAAUGAAGUUUUACUAAAUUAAUCUGUAAGAAGGAUUUACAGAUCUCUUGUUUUAAAUUAGAUUGUCAAAAUACUUUGUUCCCCGCACUUCAAAAAAUUGAUUCAUGUUUUGGUUUAACUUACAUAGGAGAAUUCCUUUUUUUUUUUUUUUUAAUUUAGACGAUCUCUCCAGUCAAACACUAAGAUGUCAUAUAACUCAAAAUAAUUUGUUUAAGUUUAUUACACAAUCAUACUUCAUGUAUAUAAAUGUUACCACAAAAUCAAGAGUAAGAAAAGUUUGUCUUUCAACAAUUGAAGAAAUGGAAGCUUGGUGUAAAUUCAAAACAAAAAUGGAGAUUUCUAUACUAAGGUAAACCCCAAAACAAUUGAAAAUGAUAAUCUCAUGAAAUAACAAAGAUGGUGAUAUGAAAGAUUACUAAGUAAGAUAAAGGUGCGAUUAAGGCGUUCAAUCGAGGAAACUUGUAGAUGCCAAAUUGGCAAUGUGAUGCACAUAUGCUUAAAGUAUUCAACCAUUCAUUCUUAAAAGUUGGAAUUGGGCCGAUGCUAUGUCCGAUUGGAUAUUUAUUACAUUAUACUGUUAUAUUCAUGGAAACAGUGAUGUAAAUGAAUAAAAUAUUUCAUCUAUAGUGAAUAUAAUAUUAGGGUAAAUUAUUUAUAAUCCCUAUGUAAUUUUACAUAAUGUCAGAUAAUCCCUCUAAUGUUUCAAAAUAGUCACAUAAUCCCCUUUGAUUUUAUGUAAAGUAGAGAAUGGAUGAAACGAACAAUCAAUUACAAUGUGUAUACCAAACGUGCUCUAAAUACAUGUGUCAUAAUCUUUUCGUUUCCAUGUAACCCCCUUAUGAGUAGUAUAAUUACCCACUUUACCCCCUAUAAUGUUUGCAUUUAUCCAAAUAAUCUUCUAUGCUUUUAUAUAAGAUAAUUAAGCUGUCAAUUGAUUUAGUAUUUAUUUAAGGGCACUAUUAAUAUUUUAAUUAAUGAUAUUACAUAGGCUAUUUUCUAUUAAAUUUCCCCUUUACAUGAAAUCAUAGGGAGUUGAAGUAGAUAUUUUGAAACGUUAGAGGAGUCAUGUGACAAUAGACGAAACCAUAGGGGGGUCAUAUAUAAUUUACCUAUAAUAUUAUAAUGUAGUUGUACACCAAAAAUUUAAACAUGCACAAUAAUGCAACCAAAUUGCACAAAAAACCCAGCAUCCCGUUCGCUAAAAUUAUGUAUGGGGAAAGAGAUAAAUGUUACUGUAAGGAUAAAAUAUGAAUACUAUUCGGCAAAUUCAGAACUUGACAGUUACGAUGGAUUCCCGGUCGAGGAUAAAUGUUACUGAACAUAUGUAAGGAAAAUAAAUAUGGUAAAAUUUUGCCUUAAAGCAUUACCAGUAGUCAUCCUUGCAAAUUUUAUUGCUGAGGGAGACCAAUUCAAUUAGGAUGGAAUGAUUUCACAUGUGUAGUCGCACCUAUGACAUGAGGGCAAGCCAUGGAUGUUCCAGAUAAUAUAUAUACUCUAAAGAUGGUGAACCAGUUGGAGGAUAAGCAGCUAAGAUGUCUACUCCUGGAGCACUUAUAUCUGGCUGAACAAAGUAGCUAAUCUUGAUGUAAACAUUGAUGAAUAAAAGCAACUACUAAAGGGAAUUCCAAAACAGAGUUGAGUACCUUUAAAAUAUCUGGAAAGAUUUGAUUUGGACCUUUAGAAGAGAAGGAAGCAAUGGCUGGAGCACCAGUAGUUUGUGUAGGUGAGUAUGCUGGCUUGAGGCUGACAGGUGUCGAGCCUGUGCAAUAAAAAAUACCUACUCGAGAAAAAUGAAUUUUCUGUGUAUAGUAGUGAGUAGGGUCGAAUCCACAGGGACUGGAAAAAAAUUCGAUUCUUUUCAAGUUCGGGACACGGGGGAUUUUUAUCAGAUAAAACUAAAAAUAAAUAAUUAAACAAUUUAACUAAAAAUAAUUAAACAAUUUAACCAAAGAUAAAUAAUUAAUUAAUACAAUUGUAAAUAGCAAUUAAAUAAAUAAUAAAUAAAUUCUAGCCAAGGAUACAACUACGCAGACACAGUUCAUUCAUCCGAUUAUUGAUGCAAAGAAGGUUCACUUAAUUUAAUUAAUAGGCUAGUUAUAGUCGCCGAUAAGCUCUAACGACCAGCUUUUCCUUAAUUUAUUGAUAACCAAGGUACGACCGUUGAUUACCUCUAACUAGAAAAUACUCCUAGGUACGACCGUAGGAAUUAAUUUCCUAAUUGCAUUAAAAACUAGAAAAGCCUAACCCAAAUUAAUAACACGCUACGAGGGUUAUUUAAAUCAGAUUGCAUGUUCUCCUAGUAUGUGAAAAUACUAGUUGCCACUAAUAUUAACCAACUAAACAAUUACGGAUUUAAUUGAUUAAUUUGACAAGAGAUUAAAAAGUCAAAUUGCACAUCGGGCCCUUGAUAUCCAAUUAACAAAAUAAUCCCAUGGAAAUUAAAAUAGAAAACAUGCAAAUAUUAACAAAUUAAGGAACAUGUAAAAUUAAUUAGAUCUCACAGAUAUUUGGGACUGCGUCUUCGCGUUGAUCCUUGACUAGAGGAGAAAAUUAGCCACGCCUCAUAAGAAAAUCUUCACACAAUUCAAUUGAAUUUAAAGACAUCAUCUUUCUUCGAUAAUUGAGAGAGUGAAUAACAAAGCUCUCAGAAGAGAAUAAGAAAAUUGCACACUAGAAUUCAACAAACCAAAACAACUCCCUAUUCUCUCCUCUGGAACAUCCCUCGGAGAGAAAAACUAAAACUCCUCUUCCCAGACGGAAGAGAGGAAGAAAAACUCACCCCCGAAAUGUGCGGCUCUCCCCCGCAUAAAAACAAGCCAAUUCCAAACUUCACUCCACGCUCACAAAAGAAAAACAUUCCUUCCUUACCUAAUCAACUCCACCGAAAACAAAAGCAAAGCCAACUAUGGUUUGUCGGUUCCCUUUGACCAAGUGCACACGUUCACAAAUAAGAGAGCAAACCAAAAAUGUGCAAAGAAAGCACACUUUAGACAAUACAACUUAUUUGCGGUCCCCACUAACUUUGACAUGUUGUCUAGCCAAAUUGAAUUCCCAAAUGCAAUUCCAUUCUUCUACGUUGGUUUGCACCAAAAUUGUGCAAAGUUCCACAAUAAUCUUCUCAAGAGGUUUCUGCUCCCAUUUCUGAAAUUAUAUCCAAAUACCAAAUAUAAAUAUAUAUUGACAAUUAAAACAAAUUAAAGCAAUAUUUGGCAAGGAUAAAAAGGAAAAUUAACAAUAAAAUUACUAACAAUUAACAUCCUAUCAAUUCCCCCCACACUUAAAUCAUGCUUGUCCUCAAGCAUGGGAACAACUAAAUUCAACAAUGGCUAACUCUCAUUUCAUUUACUGCCAAGCUAUGCUUAUCCCAAAAUCAAGUUUUAGUGGCUAAGUGUCAAGACAUAUUUCUCCCGAUUAGCUCCUGAAAUCAUAGACUCGUCCAAUUCAUGGCUAACUCGUCUAAGAAAUUAAAAUAUUAAACUAGCAAAAGUUAGCAAUUGGGUCAACUGAAAAUCAAAAUCUCAACAUUGAAGAACAAGGAUCGGCAGGCCAAUAUGAUCAUAAGUUUACACAUUAUUUUAUUCUCUCUCUCUUUUUUUUUUUUUUAACAAUUAAUUUUUUUUUUUCAAAAAUGCUCAGUCCCAAGCUAUUCAAGUCUUUUGACGUGAACUCUGACAUUUUUAGAUGAAAGAGCCCAGUUACUCAACUUUUCACAGCUUCAGGACUAACUACUCAUAGAUAUCGCCACUUUUUGACGCGAAAGUCGACACUUGUGGUGAAGACUCCCGGUUAUUGGGUGACGGCACUAGCGGAGUAGAGUCAUUUAUUAAUCACAAUUAAAGUAUCAGAAUACCAGAUAAUUAAAGAUCAUGGCCCACGUCAUCUCCUAAUAUGGAGAACUAAGAUCAACAAUUGCCCAAUCCACAUAACAAUUGCUAAUAAAAUAUUUAAAUUGCCUAAACAAGUUAAUCACAAUUUGCACCAAGUCAUUAAACUCAUGAUAUUCACCAAGAUAACAUGCGUUUACUUGCCAUCUAAACAAAAUUCAUAGGAUAAAUCACAACCAGCAAUAAACGAAUGAAUUGCCAUAUUUAUUCAUCAAAACACUAGUAAGAAAGGCAGUAAAUUAAAGAAACACCAAUCAAAACUAAACCCAAAUCCCCCCCACACUUAAAUCACACAUUGCCCUCAAUGUGAUAAUGAAACAGUAAAAAUAAGAAGAAGGACAACGAAACUCCCCUGAAGCUGGUGCCAGCUAUUAGCACCUGUAGUUGGAGGAGGCGGAGCGGAGGUCAAAGGGUCGGGAUCGUGGUUUCACCAUUCUUUCCAAAUUGUACUAAAUAAAUAAAAAUCAAGCAAAGUAAAAAGAAACAAGCAAAGUAACACAGAAGUAUCCAACUAAGGAUGAAUAGAAAUGUCAGGUAGUCCAAACACGUAAAAUUUUCAAAAACGUACUGUAAUAAAAAUAAUAAAAACAUACUGCAAUAAUAAAAUAAGGAAAUAAAAAAAAAUAAUAGAAAGAGAUUGAGGCAGGCGCGUGCAUACGAAGCCAGUGGUGCGAUGAAGGUGGUGGCUGUGAGAGAGAAGAGUUUGCGGCAGCUGGAUCUGGUGGUGCUCAGCGACUGCGGGUGGUGGGCGACGGGUUGGGGUAGCGCGCGCGAGGGGGCGGCGGGCUCCAGGUGGCGCGCGUGAGGAGCGGCGAUGGCGUCGGUGGAGCAGGAGGAAGGAAGGAGACCUGGGGCGGCGGCGGCGGCUCUGGUUGAAGGAACCAGAGAAAAGGGAAAAACAGGGAAAGAAGAAAGAAAGAAAGAAAGAAAGGAAGAAAGAAGAAAGAAAAAGAAAAGAAGAAAAAGAAGGAUUUUUUUUUUUUUUUUAGGUCGUCAAACACCGCGUGGGCGCGCCAAGAUUGGCCUUCGUCCCCUGACCUCAGGAGACACCAACGCCCACGCGCCACGAUUUCACUUCCUGAUUUCAGUAAAGGAAAUAUGAGUACUGAUACUACCCAACGAGUAAAUGACCCAAUGCAAAAGAACCAACUAGAAAGAACAAAACAACUAGAAAUAACAAAACUAAUAUUUGGGUUGCCUCCCAAACUAGCGCCUUUCUUUAAUGUCUUUGGCUAGACAUAGCCCAUAAUUUGCUUAAACCAAGCAAAUUGGGUCCUCCAAAUGCGUCAUCUCUACUCGCUCAACUGGAGCCUCAUCAUAAUAAGGUUUGAGACGAUGACCAUUCACCACAAAUUUCUUCUCCGUCUUCAGACUCUGGAUCUCCACUGCACCAUAAUCAAAGACAUUAGUUACAACAAAGGGACCAAUCCAACGAGAACGUAGCUUACCUGGAAAUAACUUCAAUUUGGAGUGGUAUAGUAAAACUUUUUUGCCCGCAGACGAAUGUCUUCCUAGAGAUCUGUUGGUCAUGAAAGAUCCGAUUCUUCUCUUUAUAGAUCAUUGCAUUCUCGUACGCUUCAUUUCGGAUUUCUUCCAACUCUUGUAAUUGCAACUUCCUUUGAAUUCCGCCCUCCUCGAUAUCCAUAUUGCAUUGCUUGACCGCCCAAAACGCUCUAUGCUCAAACUCUACCGGGAGAUGACAUGGCUUUCCAAAUACCAAUCGGUAAGGGGACAUGCCAAUGGGUGUCUUGUAUGCCGUCCUAUAUGCCCAUAGUGCAUCCUCUAGUCUCACACUCCAAUCCUUUCUAUCGGGUCGGACCAUCUUUUCUAGAAUUGAUUUGAUCUCUCGGUUCGAUACUUCCGCCUGACCAUUUGUCUGAGGAUGGUAGGAUGUAGAGACUUUGUGCAAGACACCGUAUCUCCUAAACAUUGCAGCGAUCAUUUUGUUGCAGAAAUGAGUACCCCGAUCACUUACAAUUGCUCGUGGCAUCCCAAAGCGGACAAAUAUAUUAGACUUAACGAAUUCUGCAACCACUUUGGAAUCAUUAGUGCGGGUGGCCUUUGGUUCUACCCACUUCGAAACAUAAUCUACAGCAAGCAAUAUAUACAAAAAACCACAGGACGAAGGAAAAGGACCCAUAAAAUCAAUGCCCCAAACGUCAAAAAUUUCAACAAAAAUCAUUGGGGUUUGAGUCAUUUGACCCCUACGAGAGAUAUUACCCACUCUUUGACACUUAUCACAUAACUUACAAAAUGAGUAGGCAUCCUUGAAUAGAGUUGGCCAAUAGAAUCCACUCUCUAGCACCUUACGAGCCGUUCUCUUCGGUCCAAAGUGACCUCCACAUGCAAAAGAGUGACAAUAUGCUAGAAUAGAUUGAAAUUCAACUUCACUUACACAUCUACGGAUGAUUUGAUCGGCACCCCGCUUCCAGAGGUAAGGAUCAUCCCAAAUGUAGAACUUUGCAUCGCUCCUCAACUUGUCUCUCUUUGCCUUAGGCCAUCCUGUAGGAAAUUUGUCAGUGACUAGAAAAUUAACAAUAUCUGCAUACCAAGGCAAGGAUGAAUUAAUAGAAAAUAAAUGCUCCUCGGGAAAUGCUUCUCUCAAUGGGAGGUCCUCUUCGACGACUUGUACUCGACUCAAGUGAUCUGCUACCAGGUUCUCUGCCCCUUUCUUAUCUCGGAUCUCCAGGUUGAACUCUUGUAACAAUAAUAUCCACCGUAUCAAUCGCGGUUUUGCCUCUUUCUUGGUCAAUAAAUACCGUAAAGCUGCAUGAUCUGAAAAAAUAAUAACUUUAGCACCAAGUAAAUAAGACCGAAAUUUCUCUAAGGCAAAAACAACUGCUAAAAGCUCCUUUUCGGUGGUUGAAUAGUUCAAUUGAGCUCCGUUCAAGGCUCGAGAUGCGUAGUAGAUAGCAUGAGCUGCCUUUCCUACUCUUUGACCCAAUACCGCACCCACUGCAUAGUCGCUGGCGUCACACAUGAUUUCGAAUGGGAGGUUCCAGUCAGGGGGUUGGAUAAUAGGUGAGGUGGUCAAUAACUCCUUUAACUUAUUGAAUGCCCCCUUACAUGUUUCAUCAAAUUCGAAGGAUACAUCUUUUUGCAAAAGUUGGAACAAGGGUGCUCUAAUUUUUGAGAAGUCCUUGAUGAACCUUCUAUAGAAACCUGCGUGACCCAAGAAAGAACGAACUUCCCGCACACUCGCGGGGUAAGGUAAAGUAGAUAUAACAUCUAUUUUUGCCUUAUCAACCUCAAUACCUGUAGAUGAUACAACAUGACCCAAAACUAUCCCGUGUUCAACCAUAAAAUGACAUUUUUCCCAAUUAAGCACGAGAUUAGUUUCUAUACACCUUACUAAGAUCAAUUUCAGGUUAUCUAGACAGUUUUCAAAACUUUCACCAUAUACACUGAAAUCGUCCAUGAAAACCUCAAUAAUCUUCUCAACAUAUUCUGAAAAGAUACUUACCAUGCAUCUUUGGAAGGUAGCAGGUGCAUUACACAAUCCAAAUGGCAUCCUUCGGUAUGCAAAUGUUCCAAAUGGACAGGUGAAAGUAGUUUUCUCUUGGUCCUCGGGUGCGAUGGCAAUUUGAAAAUAACCUGAAAAUCCAUCCAAGAAACAAUAGUAAGCUUGACAUGCUAGUCGCUCCACCAUUUGGUCAAUGAAAGGGAGGGGGAAAUGGUCCUUUUUCGUGACGGCAUUUAGCUUUCGGUAAUCGAUACACUGUCGCCAUCCGGUGGGCUUUCGAAUUGGUACGAGCUCACCCUCUUGGUUUGAUUCUACCGUCACCCCUGUCUUCUUCGGGACCACCUGUACUGGACUUACCCACGGGCUAUCUGAUAUUGCAAAUAUAAUUCCAACGUCCAGCAGUUUUAAAAUCUCUUUCUUUACGACCUCCAUCAUGAGAGGAUUUAAUCUCCGUUGAGCUUGCCGUACGGGUUUAGAAUUCUCCUCGAGUCGAAUUCGGUGCAUACACACCGCGGGACUAAUUCCCUUGAUGUCGGCGAUGGUCCAUCCUAUCGCCUGCUUAUGUUCCCUAAGAACUCGAAGUAGUUUCUCUUCUUGAACCUUUGAUAAACCCGCGGAGAUGAUCACUGGAAGUGUCUCCCCUUCACCCAAGUAUGCAUAUUUCAGGUGUUUCGGCAGCGGUUUCAGUUCCAAAACAGGUGCCUGCACCACAGAUAGAAGUAACCUUUUGUGAGGUUCAGGUAUAAAAAUGGGUGCGAGGUCAUACCUUGUCUUCGUGGUUGGUAACGUUUGCAACAAUCCAAUCACGCAUUUAAGCUCUUCACUCAACUCUACUCCAGAGGUUGUUUCGGACUCGAAGUGCCUGGUCAGAACGACCUCUAGCUCAUCCCUGCCUUCAAUUUCAAAAACCUCCUGUAUAGCAGGGUCAAUAACAUUUACCGAGAAAACAGAGCCAACAUUUGAAUCGGAUGGAUAUUUCAUGGUCUCAAAGAUGUUAAAGUGGACAAUCUCACCAUCAAAUUCCAUAGACAAAGUACCCUUAUUAACAUCAAUUUUGGUUCGGGCUGUGCUCAAAAAGGGUCUACCUAACAACAAAGGUGACGGAUCACGGGAGUGUUCAUCCUCCAUGUCGAGCACAAAAAAAUCAGCUGGAAAAAUCAAUUCAUUAAUUUUUACCAAAACAUCUUCAAUCAACCCGUCAGGGUAUGCAUUGGUCCUGUCAGCUAGUUGGAUUAUUAUUCCAGUUUCUUUCAAAUGGCCUAAGUUCAAAGAAGCAUAAAUAGAUUUCGGCAUGACAUUAAUCGAUGCUCCUAGAUCUAACAUGGCCUUUCCAAUCAAAGUAUUACCUAUCCUACAAGGAAUAGUAAACAUACCUGAAUCUCCGCAUUUUGGUGGAAGUUUCCUUUGUAGAAUUGUCGAAACAUUCUUCCUAACUAUAACUCGUUCAUCCCCUUUCAACCGCUUGCGAUUGGCACACAGGUCCCUCAAAAAUUUUGCGUACCUGGGUACUUGUUUAAUCGCAUCCAGUAGGGGUAUGUUGAUCUCCACCUUGCGAAAGAUCUCCAGGACCUCUUUUUCCUUGUCUUGCUUCUUUGGUUUCUCUAACCUGCUAGGAAAGGGAGGUGGAUUAGUUUUAGUUGUAGGAAUUGGGUUCGAGGGUACCUUUACAUUUUUGUUGUCUGUGCCCUCCUCUUCCAAUUCUUUUUCAAUCCGUUCCUCGUCCUUGUCUUUAGGAAUCACCGGUUCGGGUCCUUGAACUUCCUUGCCACUCCUUAAGGUCAUUGCACUUACAUUCUUUGGAUUUGCCUCAGGUUGAGAUGGCAAUUUUCCUUGAACUUGGGACUCCAAACGGUUGAUUGUUAUAACCAUUUGAUUCAUUUGAUUUUGCAAUGAUUGCACCUGUCCCAGUUGAUUUCUCAUGCUUUGCAGGUCUGAAUCCGUCUUUUGUUGAUUGGCAAGUAAUUGCUUCAUCAUUUCUUCCAUGGACGGACUUGAGUUUGAAGGGGGUGGUGGUGGUGGUGGGCGAGGAUGAUACUGCUGUUGGUGUCCUUGCUGUCUAUUUGGCACAAAGUUAGACUGCCUAUUUCCUCCAUAACUAAGGUUGGGGUGAUCCCUCCAACCAGGAUUGUAGGUGUUUGAGUAUGGAUCAUAUGGCUUUCUUGGCGCGGGCGCGUGGCCAGCCAUGUUCACCUGUUCUGCAGUUUCUUCUUGAACCAGUGGACACAUUUCCGUAGGAUGACCCACGGCAGUGCACACCCCACACACUUUGGCUUGUGAAGCAUUCCCCACAGCUAAUUGUCUUACAAAAGAUGUUAAUUCGGAGAUCUGCUGUUGGAUAGAGGACGUUUCCACCUCAUUCACCCUGCGCGUCGGGAUGUCCUCUCUUGAACCAAACUGUUGUGAGUUCUCAGCCAUCCCUUCAAUCAACUCCCAUGCUCCUCGAAGGGUUUUGUUCACCAACGCCCCUCCACUUGCAGCAUCGAUUAUGCUUCUGUCCCUGAAAAGUAAUCCCUCAUAGAAAUAUUGGAUGAGCAGUUGCUCACUUAUCUGAUGUUGAGGGCAUUUGGUGCACAGUUUCUUAAACCUCUCCCAGUACUCAUAGAGUGACUCGCCUGGGUGUUGUUUGAUGCCACAUAUCUCUUUCCUUAGGCUCGCAGCUCGAGACGCCGGAAAGUACUUGUCCAGAAAUUUUUUCUUCAAUUGAUCCCACGUGGUGAUACUACCAGGUGGUAGGUAGUAGAGCCAGUCUUUUGCGGAGUCCUUCAAAGAGAAGGGGAAAGCCCUUAUCUUUAUUUGCUCUUCUGUAAUUCCCGGAGGCUUCAUACUGUUGCAAACGACGUCGAACUCUUGCAAGUGCUUGUAGGGCUCCUCACCUGGUAGACCAUGAAAAGAUGGCAAGAGAUGAAUUAGACCAGAUUUUAGUUCAAAGGGAGUGUCAUCAUUUAAAUUUGGAAAAGUAAUGCACAAGGGCUGCUGAUUUAAAUCAGGAGCAGCCAACUCCCUUAAUGUUCGUGCAUUUGCCAUAGUGACUUCCUCUUGGUCUGAAUCACUCGAAUUGUCACCAGACAAAUUUGUCGGCUCAACCUCUGGAUCAAGUCCCUGAGGUGCAAUACCGUAUUGCUCUUCUCUGAGCUGCCUGGUUUCUUUCCUCGUUCUACGCGCGGUCUUCUCUACUUCAGGGUCGAAAACUAAUUCGCCUGUACGAGAAGAGCGAGACAUAAACUAGAAAAAAAAUACCAGAAAAUUAGAACAAAAAUGAACUUAAAAAGAAACAAAUAAUUAACGCCAGUCCCCGGCAACGGCGCCAAAAAUUGACAGGUGUCGAGCCUGUGCAAUAAUAAAUACCUACUCGAGAAAAAUGAAUUUUCUGUGUAUAGUAGUGAGUAGGGUCGAAUCCACAGGGAUUGGAAAAAAAAUUCGAUUCUUUUCAAGUUCGGGACACGGGGGAUUUUUAUCAGAUAAAACUAAAAAUAAAUAAUUAAACAAUUUAACUAAAAAUAAUUAAACAAUUUAACCAAAGAUAAAUAAUUAAUUAAUACAAUUGUAAAUAGCAAUUAAAUAAAUAAUAAAUAAAUUCUAGCCAAGGAUACAACUACGCAGACACAGUCCAUUCAUCCGAUCAUUGAUGCAAAGAAGGUUCACUUAAUUUAAUUAAUAGGCUAGUUAUAGUCGCCGAUAAGCUCUAACGACCAGCUUUUCCUUAAUUUAUUGAUAACCAAGGUACGACCGUUGAUUACCUCUAACUAGGAAAUACUCCUAGGUACGACCGUAGGAAUUAAUUUCCUAAUUGCAUUAAAAACUAGAAAAGCCUAACCCAAAUUAAUAACACGCUACGAGGGUUAUUUAAAUCAGAUUGCAUGUUCUCCUAGUAUGUGAAAAUACUAGUUGCCACUAAUAUUAACCAACUAAACAAUUACGGAUUUAAUUGAUUAAUUUGACAAGAGAUUAAAAAGUCAAAUUGCACAUCGGGCCCUUGAUAUCCAAUUAACAAAAUAAUCCCAUGGAAAUUAAAAUAGAAAACAUGCAAAUAUUAACAAAUUAAGGAACAUGUAAAAUUAAUUAGAUCUCACAGAUAUUUGGGACUGCGUCUUCGCGUUGAUCCUUGACUAGAGGAGAAAAUUAGCCACGCCUCAUAAGAAAAUCUUCACACAAUUCAAUUGAAUUUAAAGACAUCAUCUUUCUUCGAUAAUUGAGAGAGUGAAUAACAAAACUCUCAGAAGAGAAUAAGAAAAUUGCACACUAGAAUUCAACAAACCAAAACAACUCCCUAUUCUCUCCUCUGGAACAUCCCUCGGAGAGAAAAACUAAAACUCCUCUUCCCAGACGGAAGAGAGGAAGAAAAACUCACCCCCGAAAUGUGCGGCUCUCCCCCGCAUAAAAACAAGCCAAUUCCAAACUUCACUCCACGCUCACAAAAGAAAAACAUUCCUUCCUUACCUAAUCAACUCCACCGAAAACAAAAGCAAAGCCAACUAUGGUUUGUCGGUUCCCUUUGACCAAGUGCACACGUUCACAAAUAAGAGAGCAAACCAAAAAUGUGCAAAGAAAGCACACUUAAGACAAUACAACUUAUUUGCGGUCCCCACUAACUUUGACAUGUUGUCUAGCCAAAUUGAAUUCCCAAAUGCAAUUCCAUUCUUCUACGUUGGUUUGCACCAAAAUUGUGCAAAGUUCCACAAUAAUCUUCUCAAGAGGUUUCUGCUCCCAUUUCUGAAAUUAUAUCCAAAUACCAAAUAUAAAUAUAUAUUGACAAUUAAAACAAAUUAAAGCAAUAUUUGGCAAGGAUAAAAAGGAAAAUUAACAAUAAAAUUACUAACAAUUAACAUCCUAUCAGAGGCGGUCUAUAUACAAACAAGAAUUCAUUUUACUACAGUUAAAUUAGCUGAAGGUGCAAGACUAAUUAAUCGAAAAGUAUAAUGUGUAUCUAAAAGGUUGCAUAUAGAGUAGGCUCACUCUGUAGAGUUGAUGUAGCUCUCAACCAGUCUAAAUAGCUGAUGAUUCAAAGCUGAUGCAGCUGAGGGAACAAUAUCAGAGACAUCAAGGAAUUCAUUUGUCAGUAUAAUAGUUCCAAGUGCGUGCACCAGCUCUACUAGCUUCUGUAAUGCCAUUGUAAUUGCAACAAAAUACAAAUUUUCCAUGCACUAGGCUUUUGUCCAAGCAACCAUCAAGACACAGCCAACAGAACAAGCUAUUAGCAACUCAAAUUUUAUCAAUCAUUACAUGUACUAGAGCUUAAUUGGCAAGGAAGAAGUGAAUUUACUUGGCUUUUAAUUCGUUCUUUAUCCUCUAGGCAGUCUUUGCAUAUACACCAGAGGGAAUUUUGUCCCAUUCAAGCUGAAUGUAUUAACUGCAUUUCCCUGCAUCACUAAUGGUUAGAACAUAAAUAAAGCAAGGUGUUCUGGAACAACGUCAAAUCAAACAUAAAACCAAUUUAUGCAUGACAAGGGAAGAAAUUAAGGUCAAUACAUACUGCUAAAUUUACUCCAUUACCAAGGACAACUUCACCCAUGAUCUUGCGAUUUGUAGUAGUUGCUGCGAUGGUGAACAACCAUGGUGCUGUACUUGUAAUCUGUCCUUGUACAAGACCAUUAUUUCCCGCCGAAUUUACCGUAAGUAUUCCCUUCUGUGCUGCAUGAAAAGAUCCAAUUGCUAUAGAAUUAUCUUUCAAUCAACUGGAUAAUUGAAACCAAUUAAAAUUGUAAUAAUGUCUACUCCAUCGGCUAUAGCAUCGUUGAAUCAAGCCAAUAUAUCAGCAUCAUCACAGCAUGGAAAAGCACAAGCAUUGUAUACAGCAUUCCUUGCUGCAGGCGCCCCUCCUCGUAUAGUACCUUCUACAAUUCCAUAGUAACUCACAUCCAUGACAAUGUUUCCUGCAGCUGUGUGCGUUCCAUUAUGACCCUAUAAAUCUGUUGCAGAAUCUGAUACAUGGUACCGAGCUCCAAUAAUUUUUCUGUAGACAUGUACACAUCAAAAUGAUAAUCGAAGUUUCCUAUUCAACAUUUCCUAUGUAACUAACAAAAAGUAGAAACUUUUCCUGUUACACAUGAAAUCAAUCCCGCCGUAACACACUCCUUUCCAUUUGCUGGGAAUAGGACCAAAACUUUGUUCACGAAAACUCUCUGAUUCUGGCCAAAUUCCAGAAUCAAGUAACUCCUAUGACUAUAUCACUCUCAAAUGCAAGAUUUCGGGGGGCACUUAUAGGAAAACAAAUAAAGUCGCACGAUGCUGUUGUAUAAGUUGAAGCCUUUUGCUUGGAAAUAUAGAAACCACAUGAUCAUGAGCUGCAAAUUUAGUUAAGAACUCACACAUUAGUGGAAGAUUAAUAGAAUUCAAAAAUCAGGAAAGUUGAAAGAGACUAACGUUGCCAAAUUGCACAGAACAGCCAACUUUUGCUGCUCUUGCUUUGUAAGGUAGGCUGAAAAUCCAUUGAAACUCCUAGUAUAACUUCUUCCCAAGAUUUCCCCUUGAUAAUUUCCACGACAUAAAGAAAAAGAAAUAAAUAAUGUUAUAAAAAAGUUUUUUCUAUGCAUCAAUUGGUAUGUAGUAUAAGUUUGUGGGCACUGAAUAUAUGCAUUAAUUGCUAUCUUAAGCUUCUUCCAGGAUACUAACAUGGUGCUCGGAAGCAGAAUAUUUUCUUUCAGGAUGCGAUUCCACGUAAACUGUAAACCUGUCAUCAAGUAAAAGAAAACUAUCAUUUCUUGACUUGCUGCAUGUUAUUGAAUUUGAACGCUUCAGUUAUGCGACAGUUAUAUUUAUCGUGUAAAAUGUUGUAGUUAUGAUCACUACAUUGAAGUACAAUGCUGCAAAUUCAAUAUAUUACCCGAUACCCAUUAAUCAAAGAAAAUUAAUCUUUUACAGAAAUGAAAAGCGAAGAUAUCAAUAGCAAUAUUGCCAAUACUGACGGGCAACAUAUCCAGUUCUAUAGGCAACAUUAGCCAUUGUUUUCAAGAAUUACAUUUUCUAGCUCCAACUAUAUAUUGUUACUUAUGUUCCUUCAUGUAUGUUAAUCUCUAUUAGUACAUUUUUUCAGACCUAAAAGAUUUCUGGGUCGUACAAUACGAAAUCAAAAGGUGAUGUGUACAAAUGGUCCUUAGAAAGGGUAAGCCUGUCUCUUAGGACUUAAAUACAAGGAUCAAAGAUGCAUGCCCCAUUUUGUGCAUAAUUAAUAUCAAAAACCAACCUGAUUUGUUUAGAAAAGUUUUGUUAAAACAAUGCAACAUUACCUUUAGUCAAAAAUCGUGGGCUAUUGUUGCAUUUAUGAGUUACAUAAAAGUCAUCCAUAUAGGCAGAAGAAAUCCAGCAUUUCUUGCGGCUUUGGAGUGCUUCGUUUUACUCUUUUAUUGGCAAUGGACAAGCAGCCGAAUGUGGGAAUUGUGGGUGACAGAUCAACUUGGUUCAUGCUUGUAUCUUGAGCCAGAUUUGCUUGUGAAGUUCACCGAAUUUUCCGGCAAUUGGGCAUGAAUUAGAAGAGAAAACUUACAGGUGCAUAUAGGAUCCUUGCUAGCAUCAAUAGCGAUCUCAUUUGCCAUUCUUGGCAUCCCAUUCAACGAAAAUAAGACAAGCUCAAUUAGAGUUGAAGCUCUUAGAAUGUUCUAAUAUUUAGAAUGUAGUUGAGUGAGUGUUUGAACAGAUAUCUCAAGAAUGAGACUCUGAUAAGAUUAGAGCAAGUAUGCUCAAGAUUUGAAGCGAGGCUCAACUUAGUAAUGUUUUGUGCAAGAUUAUUUGUGAGUGUUGUUAUUUUAUACAUUUUUUAGUGUAAUGUAUUAUUUGUUUGCCUUUAUUAUCAGUAGAUUUAAUCCAUUAAUUUGGUAAACCCACCACAAUCUAACAAAGUUCUGUUACUCGGGGAGUCCCAUGGUCACAGUACUUGUACAAAAUAAAGAUUCCAACAUAGAUAUGGGAGGGCAAAAUAGAGAGUCUGAAAAACAUAAUAGAAAAGCUUGAGAAGGGAAGUGGACAAUGCGCCAAUGAGAACAAGAAAAUAAAGUUGUGACUCAAAUAUUUAAGAUCACAACAAAGUUUUCAUUUCAAUUGUUCUAAAUGCAACAACGAGCUGCAUGCAUUUUGACUUGUCUUGUUACAUUGACUAAUAUUUCUGAGGUCGUAAUUAAAAUGUGUAAUACCUUUCCUAUUUCGGAUGGUAUGAAUUAUGCGUUAUGUUUCUUGUAGGGAGAUGUAAGUUGGCCUACCUACCUUCCAUUUUUGCCUAUAAAAGAAAUUUUUUGUUCAAUAUAAUACUGGAACUAAUAAGAAUUAGAAAAGUAUUUCUAUUUCCAGUCAAAGAAAAUCGAGACAUCAAAACCAGAAACCUUAUUGUAACUUGAAUGUUUGUGAUGUCUUUUGUAAGCAUUAUUUUCCAUUCAAUUGGUACUAGCUCAAUUAUCUUUAGUAAGGUUCUAUUUGAUAAUUUAAUUCAGCAUUUAAAUUUAAUGGGUUCAAAUCAUAACAUGUUCAAACGCAUUUGAUAACUAAAAAUAAGACAUUUGAAUUAAUUAAAUGAUACUGAAUUUUGCAAAACUUAUUUAAAAAAUAAGUGAUAAAUUAUUCAAGUAUCACUUAAUGUGAUAUACAUUUAAAUGUUUCAAUUUAGUACUUAACAAUUCAGUAAAUUAACGAAUUUAGACUUUAGAUUUCAAAUUUCAUUUUUCAAACUUUAGUUUUAUCAAACGUACCCUAAGAGUGUGUUUGAUAAAACUGAAAUCUGAAUCUAUUAAAUUAUUGAAUUGUUACGUAUUAAAUCUAAUACAUUUGAUUGCAUAUCACAUUUAAUAAUAAGUAAAUAACUUAUCAUUUAAUUUUGGAAGUAAAUUUUGCCUAGAAAAUUUAAUGUUAUUUAAUUAAUUCAGAUAUUAAAUUUUUUGUUAUCAAACGAUUUGAAUAUGUUAAAAAUUGAAUCCAUCAAGUUUAAAUGCGAUAUUGGGUCAUCAAACGGAAUCUAAGUCUAUUGAAGAGGAUUGAACCAAUAAAUUUGAUGACUUUCAGUUUAACAAUAUAUUUAACAAAUUAUCACUGCCCAAUAAGGGCCCAUCUAAAAACACUUGAAAUAAGUGCAUGCUUAUUUGGUGAUUUCCGGUUGGGCUCCCGCUGCUCUUGCAGUGUCCAUUAACGAAUUCCUAUUGUCAAAUUUGGGUCGUAUAUCCACCAGGCCAUGGAAUUUAUUUACAAAGGGAAAUUCUUCUAAGCUGUGAAUUUAAUUAGUAUAACGAGAAAUAAUUUGAGAAAAUUACAACAAAGUACAAACCAUAUGUGCAAGUUUUCUCAAACACAUACCAAUUAUGAAUAGCUUAAGAAAUGAUGAAUAACUCAUCUUUGUUCAGCUUUUCCUUUUGGCCCAUUGAUAAAUCUUCUUUGUUCCCUCAAAAAAAAAAAAAAGGAAAGAAAUAAACUUCAUCUUUUUAAUUAGUGAAUAAAAUGUCUAUAAAGAGAAAAAGAUAAUUAAAUAUCUUAAUACUAAAACAUUUUAAUACUUAAGAAGUUUAAAAAAUUUUGGUAUCAGUUAGUGAUAAUAAUUUCUCCUAACGCAUUCUUUUAUCUACUACAAAAAAAAAACGUUAUAACUUAUUAUAAAAACCAUCCAAAAUCACAUUGAUUCUUAAGUAUUUCCCUUUCUCCUUGUAAGGAAUGAAUUGCAUCCAAAUCAGGUUCCUUACAAGUGGCUAGCACCCUAAUGGCCUAAUCCAUGGAAGCCAUAUUACAAAAGUGGACUACAAAAGCUAGGGGAAUAUAAUUUCCCAUACUCCUUAUUGUAAUCAUUCCCAAUUUACCUUGGCAUGUACUGGUUUGUUACAAGACUUCAAUCACUGGCUCUGAACCUCUGGCUAGUAUGUAAUGGCAGAUUAUCUACUAGGAUCAGAGGCAGUUACUAGAUUGGAAAUCAAUACCAGACUAGUAGUGCCCUUUAUCUUGUUGCUUUUGUCUCAUUGGGUUCUUGAAAACAAAAGGCUAGAGAAUCACACCGGGCACAAGUUGCAGUAAAUGAAUUUUGAUUGAACAUGAAUUUAGCAUUUUACCCACCUCAAAUGCUAUUCUGGAAAGUUGCCAAAACUGAAGUUUAAGCUCAAAAAACUGCUUGAACACUGCCCCAAACAGGGCCUUUUUUUUUUUUUUUUUUUAAAAAAAAAACUACUUGAGUAAGUUCUACGAAAUCCAGGACUAGAAACUCUUGUUCCACUUGAUACGCUGAUUGUCUUGAUGCCAUUUGCCUAACUUCUGAGUGGAUCGGGACUGGAGAAGGAAGACAAACGCAUGUGUGGCCUUCAUUUAUGCCCCGUCUGCUGCUUCAGAAUCUAGUUGCAGUUCCCGUCUAAGAGGAAGAAUCUAAAGGACAAAAAAACAAGCAGAAGACUUUAGUAGUCAUGAAAUUAUCAUUGGUCUCCUCAGGGGUGGAAUUUGACAAAAUCCUGAAUACUAACAUGUUGAUAUUGGCUACCCAGAACAGAAAGUUAUCGCUAAAACAAUUAUAAGCUAAGACCAUCAUUUCUAAUUUUGAACUUACUUUUCAGUGUAUCUAAUUCUUAUUUGUAUAAUUGCUAAUUUUUUCUACUAAUUAAGUCAAAAGAGAAUUGUUUUGAAUGAUCUUUUUUCUUUUUUGAAAAUUGUAAUAUAAUAUUUUGAUCAUAAGCGCAUUUGAGAUUUUCAAAGAUGUUAGAUAGUGAUUCUUGAAAACAAUGAAAAACUCCACCCAAACAGAUAAGCCAUGUCUGUUUCUUUUUCUAUCUUUCUUAGAGGUAAUCCACGAAUUGGACACUAAAGAAGAAAACAUUGUAACAUUGACAUAUUAGAACACUGAAGUUCACAUUACCAGAAGAAUAAAAAAUGAGGGAUGAGAGCUGACUGAAAUUAUGCAGGAGGAUUAUGGAGAGAUAAGCAUCUUCGAAUCAUUCCUAGAAUACAAGACAAGACCAUCAACAUCUCUGAAAUUUCUCAUGUAGAAAAUUUGUUAAGAAGAUUAACAUGUACGCGCAAAAUGAUAGCAGCCAAUCGCCCUAUAUAAACCCCCCAAGCUGUGGCAUCUUGAAACCACAACCAGCUACCAGUUCACUUAGAAUUUUUGAAACACCAUGAAGUUCACCUACAUUUUGUCCGUUUUGGUUUUGUGCCUAACUUUAUACUUAACUUUCGCCAAUGCUGCAAAUUUCAACAUCACAAACAAAUGUACCUACACAGUUUGGGCAGCUGCUUUCCCAGGCGGUGGCAGGCGGCUCGACCGAGGCAAAUCAUGGUCCCUAAACGUGGCUCCUGGCACCACCCACGCUCGCAUUUGGGGCCGAACCAAUUGCAACUUUGAUGCCAAAGGCCAAGGCCACUGUCAAACAGGUGACUGCAAAGGGCGCCUCGAGUGCCAAGGCUAUGGAAGUCCUCCAAAUACGAUAGCUGAAUUCUCCCUAAACCAGCCUAACAACUUAGACUACAUCGACAUCUCCAACAUUGAUGGAUUCAACAUCCCAAUGGAGUUCAGCUCUGUAACUCCGUGCCGCGUUAUCAAAUGUUCAGCACCUAUUGUUGAUAAGAACUCCAGGUGGAUGCAACAGCCCCUGCACUGUUUUUAAAAGAAAUGAGUACUGCUGCACCAAUGGCCCAGGAAGCUGUGGCCCGACCGACUUCUCCAGGUUCUUUAAGAGCAGGUGCCCUGAUGCUUAUAGCUAUCCUCAAGAUGAUCGCACAAGCUUGUUUACUUGCCCAAGUGUUACAAAUUAUAGGGUUGUCUUCUGCCCUUAAAGAAAUCCAGAUAUUUAAGGUUCUUGUGACAGCUUAUAUGCUCCAAGAACUUCACUAGAAAAAUAAAUUAUGAAGAAAUAAACGCAUAUGUGAUCCUUCUGGCAAUGGUUCACUGGAAUUGGAAUAAAUUUGAGCACAUAUAGCAUUGUGCGAUUUGUCUUCUUUAUCAGCUUUUUGGCUCUUUAAACAACUUAUGAACUAGAUCACGAGUUCAAAACUAAUGAAGUUUUACUAAAUUAAUCUGUAAGAAGGAUUUACAGAUCUCUAGUUUUAAAAUAGACUGUCAAAAUACUUUGUUCCCCGCACUUCAAAAAUUUGAGUCAUGUUUAGGUUUAACUUACAUAGGAGUAUUCAUUUGUUCUUUUUUUUUUUGGAAUUCAGACUAUCUCUCCAGUCAAAUACUAAGAUGUCAUAUAAAUGAAAAUAAUUGUUUUAAGUGUACUACACAAUCAUACUUUAUGUAUAUAAAUGUUACCACGAAAUCCAGAGUAAGAGAAGUUUGUCUUACAAAUAUUGAAGAAAUGGGAGCUUGGUGUAAAUUCAAAACAAAAAUGGGGAUUUCCAUACUAAGGUAAACCCCAAAACAAUUGAAAAUGAUCAUCUCAUGAAAUAACAAAGAUGGUGAUAUGAAAGUUUACUAAGUAAGAUAAAGGUGCGAUUAAGGAGCUCAAGUGAUGAGGAAACUCGUAGAUGCCAAAUUGAUAAUUUGAUGCACUCAUGCUAAAUAGUACUAAUUCACUCCUAAAAGCUGGAUUUGGAGCCACUGCUAGCAGUUCCAUGAAGUUCAGUUCGAUUGUUAUAUUUAUUACGUUAUAUUGUUAUGCUCUUGGAAAAAGUAAUAUGCAUGAACGAAAAUACUUGGUAUGUAAUGAAUACAACAUUAUCAUGUAGUUGUCUACCAAAAAUUUAAAUAUACACAAUAAAAUAAUGCAUAUCUAUUCAAAUUAUGUAUCAGAAAAGAGUUAAAUGUUACUAUAAGGAUAAAAAAUUAAGUGAUUAUAUAUUUGUUUUGAACUAUAUUUUUAGGAAAAUCAUAAUAUAGCAUCUUAUUAAUAACUGCUUUUGUGAUAUUAAAAGAUGUUAGAAAUAAUUCCUGAAAUUAAUCUGGUUAAAAAACGCUCCAUUCAAACAGAAAAUUCAUGUCUUUUUUUUUUUUUUUUUUUUCCUUUUUUCUCUUACGUAGAGGUAAUCCACAAAUUGGACACUUACGAAAAAGCAUUGGAACAUUGAUUGAAAGAACAAUCAAGUUCACAUGAUCAGAUUAAUAGAACAAAAUGAGGGAUGAGAACUGACUGAAAUUAUGCAGGAGGAUUAUGGACAGAUCCGCAUCUUUUGAAUCAUUCCUAGGAUACAAAACAAGACCAUCAACAUCCCUAAAAUUUCUUAUAUAGAAAUUUGUUGAAAUAUCUACACGAACAUGCAAAAUCAUAGCAGCCAAUUCACCUAUAUAAACCCCCUGGCUGUGGCAUCUCCAAACCACAACAGCUACUAGUUGACUUAGAAGGUUUGAAGCACCAUGAAUUUCACCUACACUUUGUCCCUUUUGGUUUUGUGCCUAGCUUUAUACUUAAGCUUCACCAAUAGCUGCAAAUUUCAACAUUAAGAAAAUAAACACAUAAAACAAUUAAACCUUUACCAUGUAUUCUCUUUUACUUAUUGAUCAGUCAUAUCAUGAAAUAGAAAAGGGUUGUAGAAUUACUUAUAGAAAUAUAUUCUAGGGUAAUGAUAUAUAUUCCAUAUGAUUGAUGAGAAACGAAAAUGACUUGCCUGCCUUUCUUCAUCAGAAGAGUACCUAAUAGCCCCACUAGAAUUGCCAGUACAUAUAAGAAAUAAGAUGCUGUAAAACCAAAAAGAGCAGUGCAGCCACCGUUGGCUUCUAAAUAUCAGCAUAGUGAUUGUUAUGGCUAGAACAACUAACCACCCAAAAGCAUGUUUUAACUUUUCCCUAAAGUUGUGACUUAAAUGUUCAACAUGACAACAGGGUUUUCAUUUCAAUUGUUCUAAAUGCAAGAUCGAGCUGUAAUAUAUUUUUUUCCUUUUAUUUAAUGUAAGUGAAAGCAUUCAAAUUUACGACCUCGUACUUGCACUCUCUUCCCCUGAACUAUCCAACCGAUCCCAUCCCCUGAGCUGUAUUUAUAUUGACUUGUCUUGUCAUAUUAAUUAAUAUCUUUUAGCGUUGGAAAGGAAAUACAAAAAGUUUAAACAAUAGUGAUAAUUGAGUAAUUUUUCUGAGAUCUGAAUUGCAAAGUGCAAUACCUUGAAGGUGUAAAUUGACCUACGUACCCACAAGGUGUAAAUUGACCUACGUACCCACCUUCCAUCUUUUCCUACUGCUGGACAAAUAAAAUAAUAUUUCUUUGCUCAAUAUAAUAGUGGAAUUGGUAAGAAUUAGAAGAGUAUUUCUAUUUCUAGUCAAAGAAAAUUGAACAAAUUUGACAAAUUUCAGUUUAAAAAUAUUGGACAAAUUAUCGCUGCCCAAUACGGGCCCAGUCCAUCUAAAGCACACUUGAAGCAUAGAGCAGAUUGAUUUGGUUGUUUCCAGUUGGGCUUCCGGUCCUUGAUCCGUGUCUAUUAACGAAGUUGUAUUGUCAAUAUUGGGUCGUAUAAUCCACCAGCCCAUGGAAUUUAAUUUACAAAAAUAAAUUUCUUUUAAGUUGUGAAUUUAAUUAGUAGAACGAGAAACAAUUCAGAAAAUUAGUAUAAAGUACAAACCAUAUAGUACAUGUUUUUCUCAAUAAAAUACCAAUUAUGACUAGCUUAAGGAAUUGAUAAAUAAAUAACCUUUGUUCAGCUUUUCCUUUUGGGUGAUUCCCAUUAAUAAAAUCAUCUUUGUUCUCUCAAAAAAAAAAAAAAAAAAGAAAGAAAGAAAGAAACGAACUCCAUCCUUUUAAGUGGUAAAUAAAAUGAAUACAAAGAAAAAUAUAAAUAAAUAUCUUAACACUGCAAAAAAGAAAUUGAUAUUGAAACAUACUGAUAUUUAAGAAGUUUUAUAAAUUUUGGCAUCACCUACAGAUAAAAUGAUAUCUCUGUAAUGUGCCUUUUAUUUACUAUAAAAAAAAAAAAUACGUUACAGAGGUUCCAGUGGCAAAGGUAGAAAUACUUUUCAGUUGGGGCACGAAUUAACUUUCGCAAUUUUUUCCAAUUUACAAGUGGCCAAUAAUAACAAAAGAUUAUUUUUUUUUAAAAUGAUCAAAUCUAAUAGACUUGAUAAACUACCACUGCUUUGUUGAUGAAAAAUACAAAGUUAUGGACCAAGGCAAAGUAAAUAUGCAAGCAAAAGUACGUUGGAACUCGGCAUCUAAAGAUUUGCAGCUAUUUGCUUUCUUCUUUGGUUUACUUUUUGAUAAAUUACAAUAAUGACUAUGCUAUAUAAUAACUAUUACAAAAUCCAGCCAAGGCACAAUUUAGAAUUUUCAAGAAAUCUCAAAACUAUUCUAGGUACCUCUUUUAGGUCAAUAGGGACACGUGCCCUACUGGCCACAACGUAAAUCUACUCUUUUUUUUUAGGUAAAAAAAAAAAAAAAUUGGUUGAAUUUGACUUCGAUCAUUAUCACAAGUCAAAACCUGUUUUCGGAACUGUAAGUCGCUUACACAAGUUCUUACAGAUCACCCAUUUUUUUAGUAAAAAAAAAAAUAAAGUUUGGUUGAAUUUGACUUCGAUCAUCAUCACAGGUCAAAACCUGUCUUCAGAACUAUAAGUCGCUUACAGAAGUUCUUACAGAUCACCCAACAACAGAGAUCUCACAAUGUAAAUCUACUUAUAGGUUCUUAGUUCGACGAUCUUAAGCUUUCCUUUGCCAUAAUAAAGCAUGAACUACAUUUAAACUGCACUCCUUACACUGGGCACAAGUUGCAGUAAAUGAAUUAUGAUUGAAUAUGAAUUUAGCAUUUCAGGCUUUUAGCAACCACAAAUGCUAUUCUGGAAAGUUGCCAAAACUAAAGUUUAAGCACAAAAAACUGCUUGAACACUUCACGAAACGGCCCAAAUUGGGCUUUUAAUUUUUUUUUUUUUUUGUCCAAUUACUUGAGUAAGCUCCACGAAAUCCUGGACUAGAAACUCUUGUUCUACUUGACAUCCUUAUUGAAUUGUCUAAGCUUCUUGAAGCCAUUUGCCUAACAUUCGCUGGUCUCAGACAAACAGACGUAUGGUCUUGAUUUGUGCCCAUUCGGCUGCACCAAAAUCCUGUUGAAACUCUAGACUAAGAGGAAAAUUCCAAAGAAAAAAAAAAUGAAAACAGAAGACUUUAGGAGUUAUGAAAUUGGCAUUAGUCUCCUUGGGUGUGGAAUUUGAAAUCAUCAUCAAUACUAACAUGUUGAUAUUGACUACCCCAUAACAGAAAGUUAUCGCGAAAAUAAUUAGAUGCUAAUACCAAACGUUUUAAUCUCUAACCAUCAUUUCUUAUGUUAAACAUAGGUUUUAGCGUAGCUAAUCAAUAUAUGUACAAUUGCUAAUUUUUUCCACUAAUUAAGUCAAAAGAUAAUUGUUUUGAACGGUGUUUUCGCGAAAAUUCCAAUAAAAUAUUUUGUUAAUAAACACAUUUGAUAUUUUCAGAGAUGUUAGAUAGUGAUUCCUGAAAACAGUGAGGUUGAAAAAACAAUUCAACCAAACAGAUAAGCCAUGUCUGUUUCUUUUUUCUAUCUUAGAGAAAAUCCACGAAUUGGACACUAAAGAAAAGAAAUUGUAACAUUGAUAUAUAGAACAGUCAAGUUCACAUCACCAGAAGAAUAAAAAAUGGGGGAUGAGAUUAUGCAGAAGGAUUAUGGACGGAUAAGCAUCUUUGAAUCAUUCCUAGAAUACAAGAAAGGGCCAUCAACAUCUCUGAAAUUUCUCAUGUAGAAAAUUUGUUAAGAAGAUUAACAUGUACACGCAAAAUGAUAGCAGACAAUCGCCCUAUAUAAACCCCCUACCUGUGGCAUCUUGAAACCACAACCAGCUACCAGUUCACUUUGAAAGUUUGAAACACCAUGAAGUCCACCUACACUUUGUCCCUUUUGGCUUUAUGCCUAACUUUAUACUUAACCUUCACCAAUGCUGCAAAUUUCAACAUUGUAAACCAAUGUACCUACACAGUUUGGGCAGCUGCUUCCCCAGGCGGUGGCAGGAGGCUCGACCGAGGCCAAUCAUGGUCCCUAAACGUGGCUCCUGGCACCACCCAAGCUCGCAUUUGGGGCCGAACCAAUUGCAACUUUGAUGCCAAUGGCCAAGGCCACUGUCAAACAGGUGACUGCAACGGGCGCCUCGAGUGCCAAGGCUAUGGAAGUCCACCGAAUACGCUAGCUGAGUUCGCCCUAAACCAGCCUAACAACUUAGACUACAUCGACAUUUCCAACGUUGAUGGAUUUAACAUCCCAUUGGAGUUCAGCUCCGUUACCAAUUGCCGUGACAUCAGAUGUUCAGCUCCUAUUGUUGAUCAAUGCCCAGCUCAGCUAAGAACUCCAGGUGGAUGCAACAAUCCCUGCACUGUUUUUCACACAAAUGAGUACUGUUGCACCGAUGGCCCAGGAAGCUGUCACCCGACCGACUUCUCCAGGUUCUUCAAGGACAGGUGCCCUGAUGCUUAUAGCUAUCCUCAAGAUGAUCCCACAAGCUUGUUUACUUGCCCAAGUGGUACAAAUUAUAGGGUUGUCUUCUGCCCUUAAAGAAAUCCAGAUAUUUAAGAAAAGUAGAUUAUGAAGAAAUAAACGCAUAUGAGACCCUUCUUGUAAUGGUUCACUGAAAUUGGAAUAAAUUUGAGCACAUAUAGCAUUGUGCGGUUUGUCUUCGUUAUCAGCUUUUUGGCUCUUUAAACUACUUAUGAACUACAUCACUGCUUACUAAAUUAAUCUGUAAGAUGGAUUUACACAUCCCUUGCUCUGACCCCUUCUUGCAUUUCUUCAAUUUCAAAAUUGAGUUACCAUGUUAAUUAGAAAACACAGUGUACAUGGAUUUGAGUGGUUUUAUUAUCCAUUACGAUUUGUAAUAAAAGAUCCUGGAGAAAAAACAAAAUAACAUCAACGCAGACAAAAAAAGUUAUACAAUAAAAUUUUUUAAAAAAAGUAAAAAGUUCUUUUACCCCAUCUAACUUAGCCAUAUAAGAAAAGAAGCUACAAAGUUCAGGAGCAGCCAAGAAUACAUCCACUUUGCAAACAAUUGAUUCGUUUCCUUUUCUUCCACCUUUCAUACUCCUUUCUGUUUUCCUUUCUCUUUUCUUCAAGUAUCAUCCAUGAAUCAGUUCCAGCAAUUUGAGGUAACAAUAAAAUCUAGGCUGUUCGGUGUCAUGGUUCAAUGGAUCUGAUACCACAUCUUGGACGGGUACAAGCUUUGCCCGUCCUCCAUACUACUCUGGCAAAGUUUCUUCGCCUAUGUCCUGGAUAAAACCCCUCCUUUCCUCUUCGUUAAUCACGAUCUUAAUCUGUGUCUAUCAUUUAAAAGUUGCUAGUUAAGUUCGAUUUUAGAAAACACAUGUAUUUCAGAAAAAAACAUGUUUACUCGAAAUUUUUGGAUUUGGAAAUCUAAACGCAAUUAUAUGCUACUUUCUGUACCCAUAAUCAAUGAAUAGAUAUUGAGCGAUGCUGUUAUAUGUUUCUGCAAUCAGACAAAUAUGAGCCACAAAUGGCUCAAAUUAAGUGAGAUCUUAGAAUCUUUGAAUUCAUAGAAACAAACACCGGAUCUUCAAUAACUGCUCUUCUGGUUGAUCACAUAAAGAGGCUAACUAUCUGCGUUCUGUAAUCGAUUAAGCAAUAGUACGAAUGGUUUUUUUUCAACUUAUUGGGAUCAUGAUGUGACUGGAAAGUUUUAUUUCUGUUGAAAAUUGAAUUAAUUAGCUUCAUACUCCUGCAGAACAAUAAUCUUCCAGUGGGAAAACAAGAUGGGAAGAAAUGGAAAGAAAAGAUCACUUUCUGUCGACUUCUACAAUCAAUAAAAAGCUCCAUUAAUUGAAAAAAAAAGAAGAAGAAGAAGAUGGAUCUUGUAUUGGUUCGUUGUCUUUAAGUAUUUCUGCACAAUAUUGUCUUGUUUUGACAAGUGAUAGUCGCACAUAGAGGGCAGUCUCUUGCAAGCCUUUCAAAGCAAGAUACAAGAAAACAGAUAUGCUCGAACAGAGAACUUAAAUUGCAUUUGUUUACUUUGACAAGUUUAAUGGCUUCAUCCUACGUAUGGAUGGAAGCAGUACUUUAGUUAUCAUCUGCCUGCUAAUUUUAAGAAAGAUCUUUCAUAUGUUUAAAUUUGCAGAAAUGGUUGCAUAUCAGAAAUACCUUCUCAAGAGUUGCUUUCUCAAGGAAGUAUGAAACCAUCCUCCAUACACUCACAAAGAACCAGGGUAGAUGUACAAUAUAACACUUGGCUAAGCACUCAGGGUAGCAAGCCAACACAAAUAAGAGAUUCGAAUGUAAUAUCGUAACGAGAAAGAAUUGCACAACACCAAGGUGAAUAGUCAUUGUGUCACGGUAAAACAGAACAAGAAUCUUUCUUGAAUUUGAAUGUAGAAAGAUCUGAUCAUUGUCCUUUUCCAUGGAUCCGAAUUCUAUCUGACCUUAAGUUUAAAGAUCUCAGCCGAUAACCUUAAUGAUCCAUGGUUUGACACGAAAACCAUUUGCCAAUAAUGGUCCUAGAAUUACACUUAAAUUAGGGAUAUGAAGAACCUCACUUGUAAAAUUUAAUGGCAGCAAAGUAAUACUUUUUGAACAGCAUAGAAGUCUACUCGGAGAAACUCAAAUUCAACGGAUGUUUCUGCAUGCUGAUUGAAUUUUCUAAGCUUCAUGAAGUCAUUUGCCUAACUCUUGACUGGGAUCAGACUAGAGAAGGAAGACAAACAGGUGUAUGGUCUUGAUUUAUGCCCAUUCUGCAACUCCAAAAUCUGGUUGAAAUUCUAGACUAAGAGCAAGAAUAUUAAAAAAAAAAAAAAAAGUUACGAUAUUAUCAUUAGUCUCCCCAGUUGUGUGAUUUUGAAAUGAUCGUCACUACCAAAAUGUUGAGAUUGACUAGCGCAUAACAGAAAGUUAUCGCUAAAAUAAUUAGAAGCUAAUAUCAAAUGUUUUAAUCCCAGAUCAUCAUUUAUUAUUUUGAACAUAGAUUUCAUUAUGGCUAAUCAAUUUUUGUAUAAUUGCUAGUUCUUUCCACUGAUUAGGUCAUAAGAUAAUUGUUUUCCACAGUGUUUUUAGGAGAAUUGUAAUAUAAUAUUUUGUUAAUAUUAAGAAAUGUUAGAAAGUGAUUCCUGAAAACAGUGUGGUUGAAAAACACUCCACCCAAACGGAUAAUUCAUGUCUGUUUCUUUUUCUAUCUUAGACAGAGGUAAUAUUGGACACUAGAGGAAAGACAUGUAAGGUUGAUCUUUAAAACGGUCAAGUCUGACAUCACCCGAACAAUAAAAAAAGGGGUAAAAUACACUUUGGGCUCCUGUGAUUUAGCAUUUUUCACAUAAUCUCCUCCCGGUUUCAAAAGUUAUACAUAACUCUCUUAUAAUUUGGAUUAAAGUGUCAAAGUGAAGAAAUUUGCAUUUUAUAAUGGAAUCAACUAAAAUGUCAAAAGUACCCCUAUAUAAAAUUAAAUAUUAUUUAUUUAUCACAAGGGAUUAUGUAUAUAUUUUAAAAAUCAUAAUAGAGUUAUAUAGUAAAAUACUAAACCAUAAAGGAGUUACACGCUGAAACAUAAAAUCAUUUGUCAUUAGACUGUGAUACAUGUUAUGUUAUAUAUUUUGUCACUUCACCCAUUUUAGUUUUUAAACAAAGGUAAUUUAGACAUUUUUAUGGAUUCUAUUAUAAAUGAUCAUUUUUAUUAUUUUAACACUUUAAUUCAAAUUAUGAGGGAUUAUAUAUAGUUUUUAAAACUAUAGGUGGGUCAUAUGAAAAAUUACUAAGCCACAUGGUGAUAAAGUGUAUUUUGCCAAAUAAAAAAUGAGGGAUGAGAGCUGACUGAAAUCAUGCAAAAGGAUAACGGCUAGAUCAGCAUCUUUGAAUCAUUCCUAGCUAGUAUACAAGAUGACCAUCAAAAUCUCUGAAAUUUCUUACGUAGAAAAUUGGUGAAGAAGAUUAAGGUGUACACGCAAGUUAAUAGCAGCCAAUCACCCUACGUAAACCCCUAGCUGUGGCACCUUGAAAACACAAUAGCUACUAGUUCACUUGGAAAGUUAGAAACACCAUGAAGUUCAGCCACACCUUGUCCCUUUUGGUUUCGUGCUUCAUUUUAUACUUAACCUUCACCAAUGCUGCAAAUUUCAACAUUAUAAACCAAUGUACCUACACAGUUUGGGCAGCUGCUUCCCCAGGGGGUGGCAGGAGGCUCGACCGAGGCCAAUCAUGGUCCCUAGAUGUGGCUCCUGGCACCACC